AGGAGUGGCCAGCAGAAGAUGCACAAAGUAACAAGAGGAGGGGCAAGGUAAACGACGGUCUUCGUCAUUGACUGCAAGGGGAGAGCAGCUUAAUUAUUGAGUACCUCAGAGAGACUGCGGAUUGAAGACCCUCAUUCCUGGUAAUUUUAUUUAUUGCAGGUGACGUUCUGUAUCUAAUGGGAAGGUUAGUUGAAAGGUGGUUGAACGAAUGACUGUAUAUGGUGCAAAGCUUAUUUUCAAAGGUACUUUGUUGUCAUUCUGUUGCAUCUCUAGAGCCUAUGGCUGUUGGCUGCAUUGUGCUAAUUUGCGUAAUUUUCAGAGCUAUACAUCCUUUGUCUAAUUAAGAACUUCUAAAUAAUCAGUUUCUUCUCCAUUCCGUCACUUAU
Long non-coding RNA from Lolium rigidum, 386 nucleotides. RefSeq lists it as uncharacterized. The transcript is spliced from 3 exons. NCBI's taxonomy places the organism in Eukaryota, Viridiplantae, Streptophyta, Magnoliopsida, Poales, Poaceae. The record is from RefSeq and is a predicted model, not a curated record.